This 106-nucleotide transfer RNA is filed under the name Oscillospiraceae bacterium. RNAcentral describes it as "tRNA-OTHER". It matches the Rfam family "tRNA". From Rfam's summary of the family: Transfer RNA (tRNA) molecules are approximately 80 nucleotides in length. Their secondary structure includes four short double-helical elements and three loops (D, anti-codon, and T loops). Further hydrogen bonds mediate the characteristic L-shaped molecular structure. tRNAs have two regions of fundamental functional importance: the anti-codon, which is responsible for specific mRNA codon recognition, and the 3' end, to which the tRNAs corresponding amino acid is attached (by aminoacyl-tRNA synthetases). tRNAs cope with the degeneracy of the genetic code in two manners: having more than one tRNA (with a specific anti-codon) for a particular amino acid; and 'wobble' base-pairing, i.e. permitting non-standard base-pairing at the 3rd anti-codon position. Lineage: Bacteria; Bacillati; Bacillota; Clostridia; Eubacteriales; Oscillospiraceae. The record is from RNAcentral.
UGGACAUUGGCUUAAUGGUAGAGCAUCCCCCUUCAUAAGCGUAUAACUUAAUGCAAGUUGUACGUUUAUGAAGGGGAGGAUAGAGGUUCGAAUCCUCUAUGUCCAC